GGAUGUGAGGGCAAUCUGGCUGUGACAUCUGUCACCUCAUUGAUCACCAGGGUUGAUUUGGCUGGCUAGACAGGUGUCCCCUUCCUCCCUCACCGCUGCCUGUGUGUCCCUCCCAAAGCUGCCUGCUUGGUCAAUGAGGUCAACCAUCCCUAAAAGAGGAGGACUGUUCUUCUGUCAAGGGUUUAUGAGUAGCUGCACUCCCCUGCUAGAACCUCCAAACUAGCUCUCAAGAAAUACAAAGAAAAGACACAACAGUUCACAAAGCCACAGAAGCCAUGAAUAUGCAGUGUCAUGUCUUCAUCUGC
RNAcentral lists this small nuclear RNA (305 nucleotides) under Castor canadensis (American beaver). RNAcentral's name for it is "7SK RNA (ENSCCNG00000004775.1)". It matches the Rfam family "7SK RNA". From Rfam's summary of the family: 7SK was discovered as an abundant small nuclear RNA in the mid-70s but a possible function has only recently been suggested. Two independent studies have found that 7SK RNA binds the CDK9/cyclin T complex (known as elongation factor P-TEFb). P-TEFb activates transcription by phosphorylating the C-terminal domain of RNA polymerase II. The record is from RNAcentral. Lineage: Eukaryota; Metazoa; Chordata; Mammalia; Rodentia; Castoridae.